RNAcentral lists this ribosomal RNA (495 nucleotides) under Aeromonas hydrophila. Its description in RNAcentral is "bacterial LSU rRNA". It matches the Rfam family "Bacterial large subunit ribosomal RNA", at positions 1168 to 1664 of the family's 2925-position model. Lineage: Bacteria; Pseudomonadati; Pseudomonadota; Gammaproteobacteria; Aeromonadales; Aeromonadaceae. The record is from RNAcentral.
AGAUGUAACGGGGCUCAAACCAUACACCGAAGCUACGGGUAUCACGUAAGUGAUGCGGUAGAGGAGCGUUCUGUAAGCCUGUGAAGGUGAGUUGAGAAGCUUGCUGGAGGUAUCAGAAGUGCGAAUGCUGACAUGAGUAACGACAAUGGGUGUGAAAAACACCCACGCCGAAAGACCAAGGUUUCCUGCGCAACGUUAAUCGACGCAGGGUUAGUCGGUCCCUAAGGCGAGGCUGAAAAGCGUAGUCGAUGGAAAACAGGUUAAUAUUCCUGUACUUCUGGUUAUUGCGAUGGAGGGACGGAGAAGGCUAGGCCAGCUUGGCGUUGGUUGUCCAAGUUUAAGGUGGUAGGCUGAGAUCUUAGGUAAAUCCGGGAUCUUAAGGCCGAGAGCUGAUGACGAGUUGUCUUUUAGAUGACGAAGUGGUUGAUGCCAUGCUUCCAAGAAAAGCUUCUAAGCUUCAGGUAACCAGGAACCGUACCCCAAACCGACACAGGU